RNAcentral lists this ribosomal RNA (445 nucleotides) under uncultured bacterium. RNAcentral's name for it is "bacterial SSU rRNA". It matches the Rfam family "Bacterial small subunit ribosomal RNA", at positions 354 to 796 of the family's 1533-position model. The record is from RNAcentral.
GUGAGGAAUAUUGGGCAAUGCCCGCAAGGGUGACCCAGCAACGCCGCGUGGAGGAUGAAGGUCGUAAGAUCGUAAACUCCUGUUAGAGGGGAAGAACACCACCGAUUGGAUCGGUGUUUGACUGUACCCUCAGAGAAAGCCCCGGCUAACUACGUGCCAGCAGCCGCGGUAAUACGUAGGGGGCAAGCGUUGUCCGGAUUUACUGGGUGUAAAGGGCGCGCAGGCGGGAUAGCAAGUCAGAGGUGAAAUCCUACAGCUUAACUGUAGAACUGCCUUUGAUACUGUUAUUCUUGAGUUCGGGAGAGAGAGACGGAAUUCCAGGUGUAGUGGUGAAAUACGUAGAUAUCUGGAAGAACACCAGUUGCGAAGGCGGUCUCUUGGUCCGAUACUGACGCUGAGGCGCGAAAGCGUGGGGAGCAAACAGGAUUAGAAACCCCAGUAGUCC